CCUACGGGGGGCAGCAGUGAGGAAUAUUGGUCAAUGGACGAGAGUCUGAACCAGCCAAGUAGCGUGAAGGAUGACUGCCCUAUGGGUUGUAAACUUCUUUUAUAAAGGAAUAAAACGAGGCACGUGUGCCUUUUUGCAUGUACUUUAUGAAUAAGGAUCGGCUAACUCCGUGCCAGCAGCCGCGGUAAUACGGAGGAUCCGAGCGUUAUCCGGAUUUAUUGGGUUUAAAGGGAGCGUAGAUGGGUUGUUAAGUCAGUUGUGAAAGUUUGCGGCUCAACCGUAAAAUUGCAAUUGAUACUGGCAGUCUAGAGUACAGUUGAGGUAGGCGGAAUUCGUGGUGUAGCGGUGAAAUGCUUAGAGAUCACGAAGAACCCCGAUUGCGAAGGCAGCUUACUAAACUGUGACUGACAUUGAUGCUCGAAAGUGUGGGUAUCAAACAGGAUUAGAUACCCGGGUAGUC
This 460-nucleotide ribosomal RNA is filed under the name uncultured bacterium. Its description in RNAcentral is "partial 16S ribosomal RNA". It matches the Rfam family "Bacterial small subunit ribosomal RNA", at positions 338 to 795 of the family's 1533-position model. The record is from RNAcentral.